UUUUUGGGGGUACAGCCAGAGUUGGUUGUACCCGGGUAUAACAAUUAGGGGUUAAAGGAAUUAUAACAUUUUGGAUUUUUAUGUAAUAGCCCAAGCCCCAAUUCACCAUUCACUUUUUCACCCUAAAUAUAAAAGCUCUCUAUUACUCUAACCCUAACCAUUUUCAGAUUCUUUUACAGUUUUACCAGCCACCCUUUCUUUCUCUAAGAUAGCUCAUACACACUCUUUCUCUUUUAAUUUCCACCGCUUCUCCUAUUGGUCCCUAGUCUCCGCCGCCUUCUUCAACAGUUCAGCUCACCUCCUUAUCGUCUCACGUGACCACUUUAACCGUGAUUGUGAUUUUUGAAGGCUACUAAUCACGUCGAGCACUGUGAAAGAAAGAAACUUUACAGCAUUGUUCAAACUUACUAUUUGGUGACAAUAGAGAGGAAGCAAGAGUCGAGGAGUAUCAAGAAUAUUUUUUUUUUGACAUAAUCAAGAAUAAUAUGUAGCCAUCAUUCAACCAUUACCGUUAUCAUUGAUUCAUGAGAUAAAAGAAUAGCAAAACAACUUCAUUUUUUACUCCUUAUCUAAAUCAUAUCCAUGAAUUAUACUAUGUACCUCACCAAACCCCACAAAUUCUAAACAAUGAGGUCUAUUUCGUUUAGCACAUGAAGUGCAAAAUAUUUUAUGUACUCUAACCAACUAGUCACGUGUCUACCUUUUCAAUAAUGUAAAUACGAAGUAUUUAGUUUUAA
Spinacia oleracea (spinach) is the source of this 737-nucleotide long non-coding RNA. RefSeq lists it as uncharacterized. The transcript is spliced from 3 exons. NCBI's taxonomy places the organism in Eukaryota, Viridiplantae, Streptophyta, Magnoliopsida, Caryophyllales, Amaranthaceae. The record is from RefSeq and is a predicted model, not a curated record.